CCUACGGGAGGCAGCAGUGGGGAAUUUUCCGCAAUGGGCGAAAGCCUGACGGAGCAACGCCGCGUGAGGGAUGAAGGCCUCUGGGCUGUAAACCUCUUUUAUCAAGGAAGAAGAUCUGACGGUACUUGAUGAAUAAGCCACGGCUAAUUCCGUGCCAGCAGCCGCGGUAAUACGGGAGUGGCAAGCGUUAUCCGGAAUUAUUGGGCGUAAAGCGUCCGCAGGCGGUCUUGUAAGUCUGUCGUUAAAGCGUGGAGCUUAACUCCAUUUGAGCGAUGGAAACUGCAAGACUAGAGUGUGGUAGGGGCAGAGGGAAUUCCCGGUGUAGCGGUGAAAUGCGUAGAUAUCGGGAAGAACACCAGUGGCGAAGGCGCUCUGCUGGGCCAUAACUGACGCUCAUGGACGAAAGCCAGGGGAGCGAAAGGGAUUAGAUACCCCUGUAGUCCUGGCCGUAAACGAUGAACACUAGGUGUCGGGGGAAUCGACCCCCUCGGUGUCGUAGCCAACGCGUUAAGUGUUCCGCCUGGGGAGUACGCACGCAAGUGUGAAACUCAAAUGAAUUGACGG
This 564-nucleotide ribosomal RNA is filed under the name uncultured bacterium. RNAcentral's name for it is "bacterial SSU rRNA". It matches the Rfam family "Bacterial small subunit ribosomal RNA", at positions 338 to 916 of the family's 1533-position model. The record is from RNAcentral.